This 256-nucleotide long non-coding RNA is filed under the name Elaeis guineensis (African oil palm). Its description in RNAcentral is "long non-coding RNA (EGUI_LNC039100)". The record is from RNAcentral. Lineage: Eukaryota; Viridiplantae; Streptophyta; Magnoliopsida; Arecales; Arecaceae.
CUCAAACAGUCCUGUGACUCCUCACAAAGACUCCCCUGGCCAAUGUUUUGCUAAAUUGAAACACGACUGUACACAGCUCCUAAACUGGAGUGGUCAAUCCCAUCUUGACACAUGCACCGACAAGUCAAGUACUUGACUACACCCAGCAGCCUUCCGUCACUGAAUUAGAAAUUCAGGUAGUCCAGUGCCUAAGUGUAGUGAGUUGCUUGCAAGUCACCGUGGCGGUCUCAGGUCGGAGGGAUAUUUAUACCCAUAU